GAAAUGCGAUAAGUAAUGUGAAUUGCAGAAUUCAGUGAAUCAUCGAAUCUUUGAACGCAUCUUGCGCUCCUUGGUAUUCCGAGGAGCAUGCCUGUUUGAGUGUCAUGAAAACCCUCAACCCUAGAUUGGUUAAUACCUUUCUUUGGUUUGGAUUUGGACGUUUGCCGAUGAUAAGUCGGCUCGUCUUAAAAGUAAUAGCUGGAUCUGUCUCGCGACAUGGUUUGACUUGGCGUAAUAAGUAUUUCGCUAAGGACAUCUUCGGAUGGCCGCGUUGCAGGACUAAAGACCGCUUUCUAAUCCAUUGAUCUUCGGAUUAAUACUCUUGACAUCUGGCCUCAAAUCAGGUAGGACUACCCGCUGAACUUAAGC
RNAcentral lists this unclassified non-coding RNA (369 nucleotides) under plant metagenome. RNAcentral's name for it is "partial contains 5.8S ribosomal RNA, internal transcribed spacer 2, and large subunit ribosomal RNA". The stretch from base 1 to 105 matches the Rfam family "5.8S ribosomal RNA", at positions 50 to 154 of the family's 154-position model. The record is from RNAcentral.